RNAcentral lists this long non-coding RNA (1737 nucleotides) under Pongo abelii (Sumatran orangutan). RNAcentral describes it as "lincRNA". The record is from RNAcentral. Lineage: Eukaryota; Metazoa; Chordata; Mammalia; Primates; Hominidae.
UUGCCAGCAGCUCCGUUGGCGCUGCAACCAUCUUGACUUGGAAUCAACCACCCUAUAGGCCACGCUGUAGCCUUAGAGACUACCUCGUGAAACUUUCAUCGACCGUCGCACAUAGGGCAAGGCACGCUUCUGCCCUCUGUGGGACAGAGUUGUCAAUGAUUAUAGGUGCGGAUCCCCGCUUCGGCCUGCGUUAAUCGGGGAUGCAGCCCCCCACCCUUCCUGCCGUGGUUCUACCCAGCCUGCUGCGGACGCCUGAGCCAGGUGCGUCACCCCCACCUGGGCUGACCAGGCCAGGACUUCGUCGUCCGCGGGACGCUGGGGGGCGCCUGCCGACUGGCACCGGCGGCUAGCUCCGCACGAAUGGGAAAUCCCGGGCUCCGUUCGCCAUCCUGUUACUGCUGCAGAACGCCAGGAAGCUCAGCCUGAUCCCACAGAUUAGGGUAAAAGAUCCCGGGGGGCCGAAGUGGAAACCGGAGUUACAUCAUCGCUCCCACCCGAUAUCACCUUGGCAGCGACCGCGGCUGACCACGUUCCCGGCCUGUCGCGAAUCUCACCCAAGGGAGCUGAGUCUCAGCUUCCCUGGUCCCUGGUCCCCAGUUCCCCCUUCCCCCCUGUGGCAUCGGCGUGAAGGGAAAAGAUAAAGAGUACCUCCUGAGACCUGGAAUUGUGGAUGGCUGCGGAAAAUUCACCACAGAAAAUUUUGGCUUAAAGUUAUUCUCUGCUUUCCUUGACUAUGUGAUAGCCACAGCUCUAUCUGCUAGAGGACAGGUGAAAAAGAUGGGGUUCCCUCUUCUUAGAACUCACUGUGCAGUGGGAGAAAGUAUAAAUAAAUAGUAGUUACAACAUAAUCUUCUGGAAUAGAAAUGCCCACAAAAUCAUCCAGCAGUCGAUGACCUCCUUUAGCCAGGGAAGAUAUUGCUAUUCGCCUCCUACAGAGGAGGAAACCAUGGCUCAGAGGGACAAGGUGAAAGGGUGGGAAAUUGAGGCAUAGAAAAUUUAGGUGAUAUGCCCAACAUGACUCAGCUAAUCAAUGAAGGACUAGUGCUAGAGCCCAGCAAAUCUGCUGGUGCAAUGGUCUCUGAACCAUUUCUGAGACAGCUAUGCUGGACUACAUCAUAACCAGCCCCUCACAACUCAAUAAUAGGGUUAAAAGAAAUAGACUGAGAUUAAACAGAAGGAAGAACCUUCCAACAGUGAAGUUUGUUAAGCACUGAAACAGUUCAUUAUGGAGGUAUCAUGGAAACUUUCUGGGAAGACUUAAACAAAAGACAGAAGAGAGGCACAGCGUUUGACUGAACUUGGGAAUGGACCAUUUAUUCUGAGAAGCAGAUGAAGUGCCCCUUUAGAGGUCCUGCCAGUUUGAUGGAUGGAUUCUCUACCUGUAAUGAAAGUAAUAGGAAGAAUCCCCUUGCCCAAAGCAUCGUGGGAAAGCUAGCGGUGAUUCUUGUGGGAAGAAAAGCAUAAGAGGAAAUUUCCAACCGCCAAUAUCUUGGGACAUUCUCUGGAAGUCUCAUGUGCCUCUGAAAGAGGUUGAGCACUCAGAAGUCACUUUUGUGGUGCUUGAUUGGCCUGACAUCUUGCAAAUAAACCUUAUCAAAAGAUGGUGGAAGAUGCAUACUAAGUAUUCCGUAGUAAUUGAUAGUUAGUCUUUUUUCACAGCUUUUUGUUGGAGGAAAGGUACUUGUAAUUCACGUGUGUAAACUGCACUAUAGUAUAAAAUUUCUUUGGAAUAUCUUA